This 169-nucleotide ribosomal RNA is filed under the name uncultured bacterium. RNAcentral's name for it is "partial 16S ribosomal RNA". It matches the Rfam family "Bacterial small subunit ribosomal RNA", at positions 338 to 524 of the family's 1533-position model. The record is from RNAcentral.
CCUACGGGAGGCAGCAGUGGGGAAUAUUGCACAAUGGACGAAAGUCUGAUGCAGCAACGCCGCGUGGAGGAUGACACAUUUCGGUGCGUAAACUCCUCUUAUAUAAGAAGAUAAUGACGGUAUUAUAUGAAUAAGCACCGGCUAACUCCGUGCCAGCAGCCGCGGUAAU